RNAcentral lists this ribosomal RNA (295 nucleotides) under uncultured bacterium. RNAcentral's name for it is "partial 16S ribosomal RNA". It matches the Rfam family "Bacterial small subunit ribosomal RNA", at positions 29 to 334 of the family's 1533-position model. The record is from RNAcentral.
AACGAACGCUGGCGGCAUGCUUAACACAUGCAAGUUGAACGAGUAUGGACCUAGCUUGCUAGGAACCCAGCUAGUGGCAAACGGGUGAGUAACGCGUGGGAACCUACCUUGUAGUACGGAAUAGCCAUUGGAAACGAUGAUUAAUACCGUAUACGCUCUUCGGAGGAAAGAUUUAUCGCUAUAAGAUGGGCCCGCGUUAGAUUAGCUUGUUGGUGGGGUAAUGGCCUACCAAGGCAACGAUCUAUAGCUGGUUUGAGAGGAUGAUCAGCCACACUGGGACUGAGACACGGCCCAG